Molecule: ribosomal RNA, 778 nt
Filed under: uncultured Neocallimastigales
Lineage: Eukaryota; Fungi; Neocallimastigomycota; Neocallimastigomycetes; Neocallimastigales
Description: partial large subunit ribosomal RNA
Rfam family: Eukaryotic large subunit ribosomal RNA
Source: RNAcentral
GUAGUCUCGCACAGAUGCAUAUCAAUAAGCGGAGGAAAAGAAACUAACAAGGAUUCCCUUAGUAACGGCGAGUGAAGCGGGAAGAGCUCAAAUUUGAAAUCUUCAAGGUUUUACCUUGACGAAUUGUAGUUUAAAGAAGUGUUUUCUGUUGAAGUUUUGGUAAAAGUUCUUUGGAAUAGGACAUCAUAGAGGGUGAGAAUCCCGUAUUUGACCAUUACUUUCAACUGUGUGAUACACUUUCGAAGAGUCGGAUUGUUUGGGAAUGCAGUCCAAAAUGGGUGGUAAAUUUCAUCUAAAGCUAAAUAUUGGCGAGAGACCGAUAGCGAACAAGUACCGUGAGGGAAAGAUGAAAAGAACUUUGAAAAGAGAGUUAAACAGUACGUGAAAUUGUCAAAAGGGAAGCGUUUGACACCAGUGUUGUUUUCUCGAAAAUCAAUUAAAAGAAUGUUUGAUUUAGUUGUUUAUUGACCUUAUCAGCUAAUGCAUUUCAGUUUCUGAGCUUUUCUUUAAUGCACUUUUCAGUUAACAAGUCAACAUCAGUUUCUUUUGUUGUAAAAAGGUCAUUGGAAGGUGGCUUUCUUUUCGGAGAAAGUGUUUAUAGCCUUUGACUCCUGCAAUCGGAGAGACUGAAGUCUGCAGCGUAGAUCCUUCGGGGUUAGAUACAUUUGUGCUAAGUUAUAACUUUUUAUAGACAACUUGUUGACUAUGAUUAGUCUUGUAGCUUACUCGCUUAUGCUAUUUUACCUACGCUUAGGAUGUUGAGCGCAUGUCUCUCUCU